CUCUCCCGCUCCGUGGCACUUAAGUCCAGAUUAGCUCUGACCAUUCCCGCACGCAAGCAGAGAGCGAGCGGCACAGCACUCCAGUGCCUAAGACCUUAGGUGGGUCGUUUGCUUCGAGCCAAUUCACUCACGUUUGAAAUGUCCAAAUCCAAGUCAAAAGUUCAGUGCAUCUUUUCUGAGACCAGAGAUGACGUCACUUGUCUUAAAGCUCAUCUGGUUUAAAGAAUGAAGAUAUGACUUCCUGAAGUUCUAGGCCACAUUCUACAAGUCAGUUUGGAGACUGAAAAUACUAUGGAGCUUUUUGGGAAGAAACUUUAUUCU
Long non-coding RNA from Cygnus olor (mute swan), 321 nucleotides. RefSeq lists it as uncharacterized. The record is from RefSeq and is a predicted model, not a curated record. Lineage: Eukaryota; Metazoa; Chordata; Aves; Anseriformes; Anatidae. The transcript has 3 exons.